UGCCUCAGUAACGGCGAGUGAAGCGGCAACAGCUCAAAUUUGAAAUCUGGCCCUUUCAGGGUCCGAGUUGUAAUUUGCAGAGGGUGCUUUGGUGUCGGCCGUGGUCUAAGUUCCUUGGAACAGGACGUCACAGAGGGUGAGAAUCCCGUACGUGGCCGCCGGUCUUCACCGUGUAAAGCCCCUUCGACGAGUCGAGUUGUUUGGGAAUGCAGCUCUAAAUGGGAGAUACAUUUCUUCUAAAGCUAAAUAUUGGCCAGAGACCGAUAGCGCACAAGUAGAGUGAUCGAAAGAUGAAAAGCACUUUGGAAAGAGAGUCAAAAAGCACGUGAAAUUGUUGAAAGGGAAGCGCUUGCAGCCAGACGUGCCCGCAGUUGCUCACCUGGGCUCUCGCCCGGGGCAUUCUUCUGCGGGCAGGCCAGCAUCAGUUCGGGCGGUUGGAUAAAGGCCUCUAUCACGUAUCUUCCUUCGGGAUGACCUUAUAGGGGAGGCGCAACACGACCAGCCUGAACUGAGGACCGCGCAUCAGCUAGGAUGCUGGCGUAAUGGCUGUAAGCGGCCCGUCUUGAAACACGGACCAAGGAGUCUAACAUCUAUGCGAGUGUUUGGGUGUAAAGCCCGGGCGCGCAAUGAAAGUGAACGGAGGUGGGAACCCCUCGGGGUGCACCAUCGACCGAUCCUGAAGUCUUCGGAUGGAUUUGAGUAAGAGCAUAGCUGUUGGGACCCGAAAGAUGGUGAACUAUGCCUGAAUAGGGUG
This 754-nucleotide ribosomal RNA is filed under the name Roussoella sp. RNAcentral's name for it is "partial large subunit ribosomal RNA". It matches the Rfam family "Eukaryotic large subunit ribosomal RNA", at positions 76 to 848 of the family's 3401-position model. The record is from RNAcentral. Lineage: Eukaryota; Fungi; Ascomycota; Dothideomycetes; Pleosporales; Thyridariaceae.